GUAUGAUGUAACGCCUUCAGAUUAUGUCUCAAUGGUUAUCACGGAUUAUGGCAUGGUCCCAACCACAAGUGUCCCUGCAAUUGUUCGAGAAUACCGAAGAGAAUGCUUAUGGAUAGAGGGGCCCAGCAUUGCCAAUUCCAUAAGAGAAUAAUGAAAACUUUUUUUUUUUUUUUCUUCUUCUUUUCUGUGCUGGAAUUCAUCUUGCAGGCCUGUGGUCAUGAUGAGGCUGGGAUAAUCGGACACCACAGAUUUAUAACACAGGCCCGUAUUUUUUCUCCUUUAAAGUCAUGAUGCAUCGCCCUUAAAUUCGUCUAGUGAUUUUUUUGGCCCACUAUUGGAGCUAUUAAGAAUAGUGUAGCAGAAAUAUGGGCCUUAUGAGAAUGAUUACAGUUGGUUCAUUUUUCUACAAUCAAUGGCAGACCUCUAUCGAAUAUUGCAUGGAAGACGACAUAUACAAAUGGAGAAACUUUAUCUUGGUUCACAC
Molecule: long non-coding RNA, 484 nt
Organism: Macadamia integrifolia
Lineage: Eukaryota; Viridiplantae; Streptophyta; Magnoliopsida; Proteales; Proteaceae
Exons: 2
Source: RefSeq, a predicted model, not a curated record